RNAcentral lists this ribosomal RNA (195 nucleotides) under uncultured bacterium. RNAcentral's name for it is "partial 16S ribosomal RNA". It matches the Rfam family "Bacterial small subunit ribosomal RNA", at positions 326 to 538 of the family's 1533-position model. The record is from RNAcentral.
ACGCUCGACACCUACGGGAUGCAGCAGUGGGGAAUAUUGCACAAUGGGGGAAACCCUGAUGCAGCGACGCCGCGUGGAGGAAGAAGGUCUUCGGAUUGUAAACUCCUGUUGUUGGGGAAAAAGAGGAUGGUACCCAACAAGGAAGUGACGGCUAACUACGUGCANCNCGCCGGUAGUAUNGNGGCGGNGNGAGAG